UCGGGGCGUAGCGCAGUUUGGUUAGCGCGUUGGACUGGGGGUCCAAAGGUCGCUGGUUCGAGUCCAGUCGCCCCGAU
RNAcentral lists this transfer RNA (77 nucleotides) under subsurface metagenome. RNAcentral's name for it is "tRNA-Pro". It matches the Rfam family "tRNA". Rfam says of the family: Transfer RNA (tRNA) molecules are approximately 80 nucleotides in length. The record is from RNAcentral.